GGGGUAUAGCUCAGGGGAAGAGUGUGUGCUUAGCAUGCAUGGGGUCCUGGGUUCAAUCCCCAGUAACGCCA
Transfer RNA from Camelus ferus (Wild Bactrian camel), 71 nucleotides. It matches the Rfam family "tRNA". From Rfam's summary of the family: Transfer RNA (tRNA) molecules are approximately 80 nucleotides in length. Their secondary structure includes four short double-helical elements and three loops (D, anti-codon, and T loops). Further hydrogen bonds mediate the characteristic L-shaped molecular structure. tRNAs have two regions of fundamental functional importance: the anti-codon, which is responsible for specific mRNA codon recognition, and the 3' end, to which the tRNAs corresponding amino acid is attached (by aminoacyl-tRNA synthetases). tRNAs cope with the degeneracy of the genetic code in two manners: having more than one tRNA (with a specific anti-codon) for a particular amino acid; and 'wobble' base-pairing, i.e. permitting non-standard base-pairing at the 3rd anti-codon position. Lineage: Eukaryota; Metazoa; Chordata; Mammalia; Artiodactyla; Camelidae. The record is from Rfam.